This 509-nucleotide ribosomal RNA is filed under the name Carpophilus sp. 2 MJM-2013. Its description in RNAcentral is "partial 16S ribosomal RNA". It matches the Rfam family "Bacterial large subunit ribosomal RNA", at positions 1831 to 2600 of the family's 2925-position model. RNAcentral also lists the same sequence under 1 other name. The record is from RNAcentral. Lineage: Eukaryota; Metazoa; Arthropoda; Insecta; Coleoptera; Nitidulidae.
GGCCUUUUGUUAUUAUUUAAGGUCUGACCUGCUCAAUGAAAUUUUAAAUGGCCGCGGUAUUUUGACCGUGCAAAGGUAGCAUAAUCAUUAGUUUUUUAAUUGAAAGCUGGCAUGAAAGGUCGAAUGAGAAAAAAUCUGUCUCUUGGAAAUUUUAUUAGAAUUUUAUUUUUAAGUAAAAAAGCUUAAAUAAUGUUUAAAGACGAGAAGACCCUUUAGAGUUUUAUAUAAAUUAAUAAUUUAGAAUUUUAGAAUUUAUAAUUUAAAUUAGGAAUUUAUAUUUAAUUGGGGUGAUUGAAAAAUUUAAUGAACUUUUUUUUAUUAAACCAUUAAUUUAUGAAUAAUUGAUCCGUUUUUAGCGAUUAUAAGAAUAAAUUACCUAAGGGAUAACAGCGUUAUUUUUUUUGAGAGUUCAAAUCGAAAAAAAAGAUUGCGACCUCGAUGUUGGAUUAAAAUUAAAUUAUGGUGCAGUAGUCAUAAAUUUAAGUCUGUUCGACUUUUAAAAUUUUACA